ACUCCUGCGGGAGGCAGCAGUGGGGAAUAUUGGACAAUGGGCGCAAGCCUGAUCCAGCCAUGCCGCGUGAGUGAUGAAGGCCCUAGGGUUGUAAAGCUCUUUCACCGGUGAAGAUAAUGACGGUAACCGGAGAAGAAGCCCCGGCUAACUUCGUGGCAGCAGCCGCGGUAAUACGAAGGGGGCUAGCGUUGUUCGGAUUUACUGGGCGUAAAGCGCACGUAGGCGGACUAUUAAGUCAGGGGUGAAAUCCCGGGGCUCAACCCCGGAACUGCCUUUGAUACUGGUAGUCUUGAGGUCGAGAGAGGUGAGUGGAAUUCCGAGUGUAGAGGUGAAAUUCGUAGAUAUUCGGAGGAACACCAGUGGCGAAGGCGGCUCACUGGCUCGAUACUGACGCUGAGGUGCGAAAGCGUGGGGAGCAAACAGGAUUAGAUACCCGUGUAGUCCCAUG
RNAcentral lists this ribosomal RNA (448 nucleotides) under uncultured organism. RNAcentral describes it as "partial 16S ribosomal RNA". It matches the Rfam family "Bacterial small subunit ribosomal RNA", at positions 335 to 799 of the family's 1533-position model. The record is from RNAcentral.